RNAcentral lists this ribosomal RNA (694 nucleotides) under Flavobacterium sp. A1. Its description in RNAcentral is "bacterial SSU rRNA". It matches the Rfam family "Bacterial small subunit ribosomal RNA", at positions 82 to 774 of the family's 1533-position model. The record is from RNAcentral. Lineage: Bacteria; Pseudomonadati; Bacteroidota; Flavobacteriia; Flavobacteriales; Flavobacteriaceae.
UCGGAAUGAGAGACCGGCGCACGGGUGCGUAACGCGUAUGCAAUCUACCUUUUACAGAGGGAUAGCCCAGAGAAAUUUGGAUUAAUACCUCAUAGUAUGUGAGAAUGGCAUCAUUUUCACAUUAAAGUCACAACGGUAAAAGAUGAGCAUGCGUCCCAUUAGCUAGUUGGUAAGGUAACGGCUUACCAAGGCUACGAUGGGUAGGGGUCCUGAGAGGGAGAUCCCCCACACUGGUACUGAGACACGGACCAGACUCCUACGGGAGGCAGCAGUGAGGAAUAUUGGACAAUGGGCGCAAGCCUGAUCCAGCCAUGCCGCGUGCAGGAUGACGGUCCUAUGGAUUGUAAACUGCUUUUGCACAGGAAGAAACAACGCUACGUGUAGCGUCUUGACGGUACUGUGAGAAUAAGGAUCGGCUAACUCCGUGCCAGCAGCCGCGGUAAUACGGAGGAUCCAAGCGUUAUCCGGAAUCAUUGGGUUUAAAGGGUCCGUAGGCGGUUUGGUAAGUCAGUGGUGAAAGCCCAUCGCUCAACGGUGGAACGGCCAUUGAUACUGCCAGACUUGAAUUAUUAGGAAGUAACUAGAAUAUGUAGUGUAGCGGUGAAAUGCUUAGAGAUUACAUGGAAUACCAAUUGCGAAGGCAGGUUACUACUAAUGGAUUGACGCUGAUGGACGAAAGCGUGGGUAGCGAACA